CUCUCGUUCCCCUUGGCUUCCUCUUCGUUUUCGAUCUUUUCAUCCCCGAUAGAAUUCCUUGGCUUCGUGCUUCGUUUUCAUUCUCUUCGACUUCACCUGGACUUCAAUUAGGGCAAAAUAUCCAAGCACAUUUGUUGUCCCAGCAAUGAGAGGAAGAUUAUUUCGGGAUCGUUGCAGUAUCUACGUUCGGAAACGAACAUUUGGAACGGAGAUAACAAAAAUUGUAGCUGAACGUUGAUUUUGGGUUCAAUCUCAGGAGGAAGCGAAGAUUUGAGUUAUCUCAAAGAUUUUCAAGUUGGAUAAAACAUUCCUCGUCCAAGUCCUUCAAUCUAUUUCCUCCCAGAUCUAAUUCUCUCAAGUUCAAUAAUCUAUUUCCU
Molecule: long non-coding RNA, 377 nt
Organism: Cucurbita maxima (winter squash)
Lineage: Eukaryota; Viridiplantae; Streptophyta; Magnoliopsida; Cucurbitales; Cucurbitaceae
Exons: 2
Source: RefSeq, a predicted model, not a curated record